Molecule: long non-coding RNA, 2197 nt
Organism: Pygocentrus nattereri (red-bellied piranha)
Lineage: Eukaryota; Metazoa; Chordata; Actinopteri; Characiformes; Serrasalmidae
Exons: 2
Source: RefSeq, a predicted model, not a curated record
UGUUAUUGAGACGUGUAAGGCGGGAGAAGUUCAGACACCCUGCUAAAGCUAAAGAGAGAUAAAAGGCUGUUAAAACUGACAUUACGUCGCCUGUUUGGUGAUUCGUGUUACCAGAGAACUCAUUCCCUCUCGGUUGUGUGCAGCUAGCGAGUUCGACGGUGGAUUAAAGGAGAGUGAAGCGCAAGAGCAAAGGGGAGAAUACAUCCAUCAGUAACUGAAGAACCAAAGCGUUGUGUGUUUCCUGGAGGGAGUGAAACUGUAAUUUGAGUAGUGGGUGAAUGCACACCUAAAUGAAACCAUGGAUGAUAAGAUGAAUGUGUACAGAGUCAUGUGCCAGGGGUGAACUGUGUGAUGGUUGAUUAAAAAGUAUUCAAGGCCAUAGCCCUGGCAGCCCAGGCCAUGCCAUGCCCUGCCCUUGGCAUCAGGGAUUCUCUCAAGGGAAACUGUUGAGGCCAAGUCAACAAGACCAUGUUAAAUAUAGUAUUGAAACAGAGACCUUAUGCGCGCACUCUGAUUCACCUCCAGUCUGAGAUUUGCUUGGUUGAAGGCACUGAUGCAUAUAACUGAUGCCAGUGAGCACAGAGCAACAACAAACUGAGUACUUCACUCAGCCAUUGUUGUUUUCACUUUCUGUGCCAUGUACUGCGGCUUUGUUAUAAACUGAACCACCCCCGCAGUUCACCAGCACACGCAAUCUGGACUAGCUAACGAGUGCUCAGAGGGAAAGGCUUAUCUCAGGUUUGUGUAAAGUUAACUUUGUACGUUUCUGGAUGGCUUCAAGAAUCUAAUGCCAUGGCACAAUUCAUUUACAUUUCUACCCACUUUGGGGUAGAAAUGACUACCAAUUUGACCCCAUUCAAUGUUUAUCAUUAAAAAAAUAGUAGAUAACUUUUUUUCUUUUGCUUAAUAUUUCAUGACUUUUCUUAAUUUGAUGGAGACAACUGAUAAAGCAUAAAAUUGUCAUGAUGAUAUUUUUUCAAUGUGCUGAACACAUAUUGCACGCAUUGGUCGUCCUCAAGGACCAAUUUGACCCCAAGCUGUUUUAGCUGUUAAAACUUGUCUGUCAGUGUGUGUGACCUAACAUGACUACACCUGCAGGUGCAGUUGAUACAUUUGACUUGAUAUAUAUAUAUAUAUAUAUAUAUAUCAAUAUAUUUCAUAUAUAUUCAUAUAAUCAUGAAACGUGGCAGGUGUCAGGUCUGUCUGACCCAAAACGUUUGUAAGACCAGCAUGACCUGUUCAAAAUGCAAAAAAUAUGUCCGCAAGGAGCAUGCGCAUACACUCUGCACAUCCUGUGUACAGUAGUGCAGACUAACAGCUUUACUGUGGGCAUAAAGAACUGUUUCAUGUUUUGACUACUAUCACGUUCACAAUGUUUCGCAAAUGGGUGGAUUUUCAUGUUGUUUUCACUAGUAUCUGACAUGUUCUCAUUAUCCAUUUUCUGUCUCACAAAUGCCCCCCCCCAUACAAACAAAAAAACAAACAAACAAACAAACAAAAAACUCUAUAACUCUGCCACUGCUGGUCUCAAGCCCGGAUAACAAAAGAGGAGGAGUGAGCGAGAUCUUAAAGUAACUAGACACAAAUAUAUUACAAAAAAUAGAAAAUAAAACAUAUGUAAAUAAAAAAGUAAAUAAAUAUGUUUAUGAGAGCAAAGGGGGAGUCACUAACAUUAAUCAACAUGGUCAUUCUGUGAGAGUCAUGAAUGUGCUCUCAACCUGAAAGUUUUUCUGAUGGUGGCGCUACAGUAAAGGUCCUAUCCAUCAUCACCAAAACAAGACUUGUGGUCAUUAAUGUUGAGAAGUAAAUUUGAGAAGAUUUGUAUGAAAAAUUCAAGAUAAAUUAAUUAGUUUAACUAAUUUAAAGGGUUGGCCUGAUGGUGACGCUAGAGGACAGGUCAACUCACUGAUUUUCAAGGGGUUAUUUAUGUAUUCAACAAAUAAACAAAGUGCCUGUCACACAAAUGUGGUCAACAAUCUUCUGUAAAUCAUUUUCUGGAGGUAAAUAUCCCUGGGGUCAGACUGACCCCAAGGACCAAAUUUGUUAUUAUAUUUGAGGACGAUAGGAGGGUUAAAUAAUCAACUGCUGUCAACUCUAAUUUAAUGUAAACACUCUUUUGGCGUUCUGGCCUUAGCUGACUGUGCGAAUUGAUGUGAACAAAACUUGAAUCCUCAUGAUUAAACAUAUCCCUCCAUAA